UAUUUUUGAAGUUUCUUUAUUUCUUUUUUCUCUCUCUGCUCCCUCUGGUAUCCUCUCUCUCCCUAUUCCCUCUCAUGUAGCAGCGCCGCCGUCCCCCGGUCACCAAUGACCGUAAAAUUAUGCCUCCAAAAUUCUCUUCCCUUCCUCUUUCCAACCCCCAAGUUAGUUUCUACAAAUUCGAAGCCAAAUUUCCUCAAAAUUAGAUCUAAGAAACGGCGACCGCGGGUUAUCCGGCCAAUUUCCGGCGAAGUCUGCCGAAAUCGGACCUCAACCAAAGAGGUAAUAAUGAUCCUCUCUUCAUGGGCUGUUCUCUAGUAUUGGGGACGAAGAAGGUGAAUCAAGGAAUUGUGAUCCUGGGAGUAUGGUGGUUGUGUAAUAUAAGUCUGAUGUUGGGCUUUGUUGAUGCUUUUAGAGGAAUUUGUGGAGCAUGAUGCUGUGCAUAAAGCACUUCUUGCCCUUUUGAGGCAAGAUGUUAAAGCAUUAUUCAAGCACAUUGGGAGUGUUGAGGAACCAAGCACAUAUGAGAUCAUUCAGGAGAAGGUUUAAAGCUUCAUUAGAGAUAAGGCCGAGAGGACUCAGGCAAGACUUAAGCAGAUCACUAAUAGUGUGGAGCAAAGAUUUUACAAGGAUUUGCAAAGCGAGCACUUUGGAUAAGUUAAAGUCGUGCAAAUGACUGUGUGAUGGGUUGGAAAGGUGAAGUUGUUGGGAUACUUCCGAUUAGCCAAAAAUCAUGAAGGUUGUUUCGGUAUAAAAGUUGGAAUCCGGAUGGAGAGUUUCUCUAGGAAUCCAAAUACCAAGUCCCUCCUAGGAAUCCAAAUCUGAGAAUUUCUGGAGUGUGAUUCCGGAUUUUAUAUGGGUAUGUUUUUUAUCCUAAAAUUUUAGUAAACAACGGAAUGACUUGGAAACAGUGCAAUUCCGAUUCUUUCAUUUCAAAUUCGGUUUGGUAAACACGCCUAGAGGCUUAUUAUAGUCGAGGAUUUAAAAAUUGCCAACGGUCCCGAUAUUUCGGUUGAUAUAUCGGUAAAAUCAGGGUUCCGAUAAUUGAUAGGGGUUAAGACAUCUUUCUUGAACUUCUCCGAAUGUCAUUGGAAUAUAUUUGUGUUUUCAGCGAUAUCGGUAAAAUAUUUGUGUUUUCUUUUAAUGUCUCCCAAAAUCAGGAAAUUUGUGGAAAUUUCUGUUGAAGUUUCAGUGGUAUUUUGGUGUAUUGUCGUGAACUCAAGUGGAAUUUCGGUUGGCCUUUCCUUCUAUGGAGGCAUGGUCCAAUCUUUUGAGAGAGAGAGAGAGAGAGAGAGA
This is a non-coding RNA of Malus domestica (apple), 1293 nucleotides long. The record is from RefSeq and is a predicted model, not a curated record. NCBI's taxonomy places the organism in Eukaryota, Viridiplantae, Streptophyta, Magnoliopsida, Rosales, Rosaceae.